CUGAGGCUACUUGAAGAAGAAGAGCGCUAAGGUCCAGCAUGACCGGGCAAAAUUGGCCAUUUUAAAGUCUUUGCUCCGUUCCCGUUAUACGACAACGAGCAAAGAGGGGCAGCUGUAAUACCCAAUUUUAGCCCGGGCCUAAAUAAACAAAGGUGCCCAGUCCAUUUAAAAUCUUAAUUUACGUGGCCCAAUUACAAAUGUUACAAGCCCAAAUUGCUAACCCUAUUCUGCUAGUCCAAAAUACAAAACAGAGGCAGAAAGAAACCCUAGCAGCUAGCAGCAAAAUCAGCAGCCACACCCCACACACGUCGUAAUAACCGUCGCACGUUCUUCUUCCACGCCGCGCACAAUGCCCGUACCUGCAACAAAAAGAACCACGAGCAGCAAGCAAAAAAAACCAAAAAUAUAGCAAUUUGUAAAGAUAUUUGGCUAUAAAAAGCCAAUUGAUUUAUGUAAUAGGGGUUAGCAAAAUUUUUUUUUGUACCGAAAUCAAAAAGAAAAAAUAGAGAAAAAUAUAUUUGAAGGUGGGAUUUGGUUUUAUUUUUCUCUAUUCCUUUACUUUUUUUUAAUUUAUUUUAGUUCUUUUCUUUUGCUUCUAAAAAACAAUAAAUAAACAAAACGAGGAAGGGAGUAAAGGGAACUUACCGGUGUGGCGUCGUUGAAGCUCCUUUGUUUCAUCGCCAUAGGAACAGAGGAGGGCAGAAGGAGAGCAUUACGGCG
Molecule: long non-coding RNA, 720 nt
Filed under: Gossypium barbadense (sea-island cotton)
Lineage: Eukaryota; Viridiplantae; Streptophyta; Magnoliopsida; Malvales; Malvaceae
Description: long non-coding RNA (GBAR_LNC018770)
Source: RNAcentral